RNAcentral lists this long non-coding RNA (628 nucleotides) under Mus musculus (house mouse). RNAcentral's name for it is "predicted gene, 31243". The record is from RNAcentral. Lineage: Eukaryota; Metazoa; Chordata; Mammalia; Rodentia; Muridae.
UUAAAUUCCAAAUGCAAGACCGCAGGCACGCUGACAGAAUCAUGGGAGUGAACUAUGAUUACCUGGCGUGCUGUGCACUGCAUGCUGACAAGCAUCGGAAAGGAAUUUUGGAAUGAUUCAAAUGAAUUACCAAGGAUGGUCGGGAGGAGCAUGCCCCUGUGAUGAUCUAUGAGAAGUGGAGAGGAUUGCCGAAACCAAUGUAUUGAAGUAUCCACCAGUGGAGGCAUGGGCAUCAAUGGUCCAGUUCAGACAGUGUUUUCUUGAUGAUGGAUCAGCUACUCUGAAGGAGGUGAGUCAUGGGAGACUCCCACACCAGAACUCUGCGGAGAAAGGACUACACAUUGCCGACAGUGGCUUCAUCCCAGAGUGGACCAUGAGUAAUCGCAAGAACGUGGUUUACCUUAAGAAAUAACAUCUGUCUCAAGAACUGGUUACUGGAAAAGUACUAAUCUCAAAGUAGUAAUUCUUCUACUCUCUGCAAUUUCCAGACACUGAAGACCAACUGAAGCAGGGAGAAUAAACCAGUGAGACAGGGACAUUAUGUUACCCAACUUAAAAAGGCUUGUCUGACACAACUUUGGAGGGUUGAUUACUAAGAGGACAAUUAAGCCAAAAAAAAAAAAAAAAA